This 1089-nucleotide long non-coding RNA is filed under the name Parus major (Great Tit). RNAcentral describes it as "lncRNA (ENSPMJG00000005852.1)". Lineage: Eukaryota; Metazoa; Chordata; Aves; Passeriformes; Paridae. The record is from RNAcentral.
CCAGCAAAAGUGAGGAAAAAACCAGCAGCAGAGGUAUUACAAGGUAUGCUCAUAUAUAGAGUGUUGCUAAUUAUUUUUAAAAUAAAAGAUAUAUUACUUUCUAGGAGUACACUGAUUCAUGGAAGCUGGGGAAAAAUGACAGCAAAAUGCAUAAAAGCUAUUAAUUGCAAUGACAUACUUGUUGUUCAGCAACCUUGCAGAGCAGAUGAAAGCAUUUAUCUUCCUUCAAAGUCAUCCAUCUCUCCAGACCACAACACUACAAGGAUACAGCAGGAGACUGUCAAUAGCCUUGCGAAAACUGAGGAAGGUGGCAUCCACUGCCUUCUUCUUUUCCACAAAUCCCACCUAGUUAGCCUAGAAGACAAUCGUAUUGGACAAGUACCAUUUAUUCUUGAUGAAUCCAUGCUGAUCCCUCCUAGUAACAUUCUCUUUCAAGUGCUCAAAUAUGUGCUCCAAGAAAACAAACUAUUCCCAGGGACCAGGGAGAGGCGGACUGGUCUGCAUUUUUCAUGUUUUCUUAAGAUUUGAGAAAAUUUGUCCUCCAGCUGCUGUGAGGGCAUCUGAUUUCCAGAACCAUUGAAAAAUGGCAUAAGGUGGUCUCAGUAUGAUAUGAGCCAUGCUCUCUCAGCACUCUCUGACUGACAAACAAACCCCUACCAAGGAUGGAAAUAGGCAAGCAUGAUGUGCCCAUGAAGCUCAUGGAAUCAUGUGUGGUGUGACUGACUACAGCUGUUGCAAAGAAUCUAACUGUAUCUCAACACAAAUGACAUAGUUGAGAUUCUUUUGUUAGGAAUCUGUACUAAUACCAAAUAGAUUUUUGGUGAUUUCUACACAAGUCGAUAUAAGUAAAGGAUGAUAACUUAUUAUUAAGCAUGACAGAAACUGCCCUCAGUAACUGCCAAUAUCACUAUUUCAUGAUGAUUUUUUUCCAUUAGGAUUGAUAAAUUGACUAGGCUGAGCUGAAAACAAGCUGAUUAUAGUAGAGAUCUUUCAAUACACAUACACACAUCUAUUCCAUAUUCCAUCAAAAUCCAUUGAACUGUAGAAUCACAGUUUGUUUAAAAAAAAAUAAAUUUGAAUUUAAAACCA